UUAUAUGAGAGUUUGAUCCUGGCUCAGGACGAACGCUGGCGGCGUGCCUAAUACAUGCAAGUCGAACGCUUUUUCUUUCACCGGAGCUUGCUCCACCGAAAGAAAAGGAGUGGCGAACGGGUGAGUAACACGUGGGUAACCUGCCCAUCAGAAGGGGAUAACACUUGGAAACAGGUGCUAAUACCGUAUAACAAUAGAAACCGCAUGGUUUCUAUUUGAAAGGCGCUUUUGCGUCACUGAUGGAUGGACCCGCGGUGCAUUAGCUAGUUG
Molecule: ribosomal RNA, 270 nt
Filed under: Enterococcus sp.
Lineage: Bacteria; Bacillati; Bacillota; Bacilli; Lactobacillales; Enterococcaceae
Description: partial 16S ribosomal RNA
Rfam family: Bacterial small subunit ribosomal RNA
Source: RNAcentral